Molecule: unclassified non-coding RNA, 3808 nt
Filed under: Priapulus caudatus
Lineage: Eukaryota; Metazoa; Priapulida; Priapulimorpha; Priapulimorphida; Priapulidae
Description: trafficking protein particle complex subunit 9-like, transcript variant X5
Source: RNAcentral
AUAGAGGAUGUGGUUUUGGUAUUUGCGUUUGUGAUGGGAAGUUCUCGUCGAACAUCCAGUACCGGAAAGUUUUAAAGUAUUUAUUAUAGUAUGAGCGUCCCGGACUAUUCCCAGAGUGCCGAAGACCACCAGUGUCUACUGGUGGUUGUAAAACUAAUUGGCACCCAGAUAAAGUCGAAGUCAUAUCACCGACUUUUUGAACGCAUUUCAAGACUCCAACAUGUACGUAUUCCGGGCCAACAGCGCAGUAUGUGGCUGCGUUAUAGGAAAUCAUACACUACCGAUAGCAAUGAAUGGGGUGAUUUCCAAGCACACCGAAAGGCUAUGGGUCUUGUGUGCCUUGGAAAGUGUACGUCAAAUUCUGAUGUGGAGGCCUUGACCAAAGAUUAUAAAGAGAUGAAGCGAUAUUACUCACAGACACUCUUUGACUCUCGAUGUCUCCUGUUUGGAGUAUCGGCUGAGGAAACAGACUCAGUUGACGACAAGGAUUCGGGUGUGGGAGUUGACAAGAAUGGCGUAGAGGAGUUGCUAUCACCAUCGUCUGAUGUUGUUGGUACCUGCCUUGAUCAACUUGACACCAAGAAUGAUAGCAUACAGGAUGAGAAACGUGGCAUGGUUAAUGAAGCUCGGCAAGAUUCCUGGAGUGGCGUGAUAGUCUACCCUAGUUCUGAACACUGUGGACAGUUGGAGGAACACCUGAAGGAAUUUGCAUGCUCACUCUUUUGGGUCUUGGAGUCUAAAGUCUUGGAUCGGACUUACGAAAAGUCAGACAAACUGCCACUGCUGAUGGCACCAUUUGAGAAAUCGGAAGGAGUGACAAUUGAUCAUGAAGGAAGAGCUUUUAAGAAGCGGUGCCAGGGAAGACUAAGGAAGCAGAUGGGUGACUUGAACUUGAUGGCAGGGUUACCCGGAGAAGCCAUUUCUCAUUACAAUGCAGCGAUUGAGAAUUUAAAGUCUGUGAAUGACUGGCUGUGGCUAGGAGGUGCAUUGGAAGGACUCUGCACUUCAUCUGCUGUCAUCCUGUAUCCUGAGCCGCAAAAAGCUGGCCAGCUGACACGCAACUCCUCUUUUGGUGGCAGUGGUGACCUGCUAAUGGCAGCGAGUCAGCACACCAGACGUAGAUCAGGAUUUCUCAAACCAAAUAAGAAAGCAGGUAGCUUUACAUCGUCAAGCCUUCCUAAUGGCAUAGACAGGUAUGAUUACAAAAUCAAGAACUGCCUCACCCCAGAAGAAGUCAUUGAAAAGUACAAGGAGGUUGUUCUGCACUAUAGCAAGUUUAAAGCAGCUGGUAUCAUCGAGACAGAAGCAAGCAUUAAAGCCACACGAAUUCUAAUUAUUCAACAGAAAAACUUGCUUGCCUCAGAGUUCCUCAAAAACGUGCUGUUCAUCAACCUGCAGCUUGCUGAUGAUGAGAAGAUUCAACGAUAUUGUGCAUUGUCUCAGCUUUAUAGCCAGAUAGGAAUGGAGAGAAAAGCAGCAUUCUUUAAGCGUGUUGCUGCAAUGCAAUGUGUCGCACCUCAUAAUCCUAACCCAGCAUGGGCACAGUGCUACCAUUUGCUGCUUGAGACGCUGAAGGGCUACAAGCUGUCGCUGGAUCCAAAGGAUGCACCUCGUGGCUGCUCGGUUGGCUGGCCUGUCAUACAGAUACGACUGCUGCACGAACUCGUCGUCACUGCCAAACGCAUGGGAAACACUGCCAUCGCCAUAAGGCACAUGCAGUUCCUUCUACAUCAAAUGAACCAGCACUUGACAGAUGACGAGAGAAAAGAGAUGGCAGUCAUGCUGGAGAGUUACACAGCCAAGGCCGAGGGAGGUCCUAUCCCUCUGGUAUUAGACAGUGGAAUUAUUCUGCCACCUGUGCCAUUCACUAGGCUCCCAAUUGUUAGGUCGUUCAAGCUGCAGAAUCUUGCACCACAUCUAAAACCUCACAGCAAGGCAAAGAAAAAUAUGCCAGCACCAAUAAACAAGAGCCCCUUCAUAUACUCUCCAAUUCAGUUUGGCAGCAUAGGCCGGAGCAAAUCAAAAAUAGAGUUUGAGUGGGCAGAGAGUGAUGUGUGUGAGGUGACUAUGCAGGUGUACAACACGAUGCCCUUUGAACUAAAAGUCGAUAAUAUGAGCUUAUUGUCGGAAGGAGGUCAACUGGAGACGUUCCCUUCCUCCCUCUCCUUGCCAGCGAACUCUGGUCCAUAUCCUGUCAACUUGCUGUCCUGUCCACAGGGAGCAGGAGAACUAAAGAUAAUAGGCUACUCUGCCACUGUGCUGGGUGUUAGAAGCCACUGUCGUCUACGUGAUCUACCACAAUUCAAGCAGCAGAAGCAUAUGGUUCAGGUUGCGCCGGCACUGCCGAAGCUCCAGGUGCAAACCUCUUUAGCCAAGUCGGCAACUUUCACCAGUCUGGCUGACUGUGGCAGCAUAGUAACCAGCGGCUCUAUAAGCUUGUAUGCUGGGGAGAGCCAAGACUGCACAUUGUCGCUUAGCAACAUUUCAAGGCAACCUAUCGAAUCUAUAGAGCUUUCCCUCGACUGCAAACUUAGUAAAAGGAAAGCAAGUAAAUUCUUCCAUUGGGACAAUUCACGUAUAAUGUCUGUACUACCUAUAGAGCCAGAGAAGAGUGCGGUUAUGAAUCUGUGUAUCACAGCUGUAUCUGACUUUCUGGCUAAAGAGAAGGUUCAAACUGAUGAAGAUGCCAGCAGGGGAGACCUAUCCAGAAAGAAUAGUUCGGUCAGUUUUUGUGGCCCUUGUGACACGUAUCCUACUAAGACGGUGGAGGCUAUCCUCAAAUUCGAGUACACAGGUGGAGCGGGCAUGGUCGGGCAGUACUACAGGGAGUGUUCUGUUUCCCUCCACGUUGAAGUCCUGCCAUCCCUGCUGUUCACAAAAUGGGACGUUCUGCCGGCAGAAAUACCCUGCAUGUGCUAUCUAGUAUUCGAUAUCCUCAACACAACCGACCAUGAAAUGGAGAUUUACUACAGUGACAGCAAGUGUGUGAUCAUUGAAGCAGACGAAACAAGCAGAAUCCCGUAUCAGGUCGAACGCUGCCCGCUGGCCAAGAUUCUGAAGCUGAUGAGCAAUGAUACAAGCAUCGACAGCAUCUGCAGGCAACACGUCGCCGACCUUGUCGACAUACGAUGGCAGUCUCCAACGCUAGAAACUGGUGGAGAAGCAUCCAUCGCAGACAUACCGUGGAGUGGUUCGAUGGUGGAUAUGAUUCGUAUGUCUCCGAUAGAAUGGGAGAUCUCGCUUAACGGCCAAGUAUGCAAAUCGACUGAAGAGAACAGCUACAGGGUUGGUCAGCCUGUGAUUCUCACUGUCUCCAUCAACGCUUAUACAGAGUUCUUUCAUGAUGACAUAACAUUGAACAUUCAGUGCUACCAGGACCACCAGAACGGAGUCCUAGAUUACAUGCCCAUGGACAAGUUUAGCAUCGUAGGCAGCAGGACACUACAGAUAAGUCAGCAUGGAGUCGUUUCGCUUCUAGCUGGCGAGCACUAGCGGGUUUCCUGCCCCAGCCUCCUUUCCAAGAGAUGGGCGCCGCGCAGCAUCAGAUAUCAAGGUUUGUUGAUCUAGACAAGAAGACGUCAAGCUACAGCAUUCGCUCGCGGCCACUGGGAAUCCCUGCCAGUGUGAUCAUCAAGUUACCUAGCACGCAUGCACGAUUUUGCGUUCUACGGAGUCAGUACAGCCGCACACACGUAUAUGCCAAGCCACCUGAAUGUAUUACAACGAAUAGGGGUACCAGCUAAUAAACUCGUGUGUAUUCUGAGAACAUGGUUUGAGGCUGUAAUUGCGUGUCUUGUCCGAGCAAGUA